GGCUGGUUAGCUCAGUUGGUUAGAGCGUGGUGCUAAUAACGCCAAGGUCGUGGGUUCAAUCCCCGUAACGGCCG
This 74-nucleotide transfer RNA is filed under the name Loxodonta africana (African savanna elephant). Its description in RNAcentral is "tRNA-Ile (AAT) (tRNA-Ile-AAT-18-1)". It matches the Rfam family "tRNA". Rfam says of the family: Transfer RNA (tRNA) molecules are approximately 80 nucleotides in length. Their secondary structure includes four short double-helical elements and three loops (D, anti-codon, and T loops). Further hydrogen bonds mediate the characteristic L-shaped molecular structure. tRNAs have two regions of fundamental functional importance: the anti-codon, which is responsible for specific mRNA codon recognition, and the 3' end, to which the tRNAs corresponding amino acid is attached (by aminoacyl-tRNA synthetases). tRNAs cope with the degeneracy of the genetic code in two manners: having more than one tRNA (with a specific anti-codon) for a particular amino acid; and 'wobble' base-pairing, i.e. permitting non-standard base-pairing at the 3rd anti-codon position. The record is from Rfam by way of RNAcentral. Lineage: Eukaryota; Metazoa; Chordata; Mammalia; Proboscidea; Elephantidae.